GGUCAAGUGAAGAAGCGCAUACGGUGGAUGCCUUGGCAGUCAGAGGCGAUGAAAGACGUGGUAGCCUGCGAAAAGCUUCGGGGAGUCGGCAAACAGACUUUGAUCCGGAGAUGUCUGAAUGGGGGAACCCAGCCAUCAUAAGAUGGUUAUCUUGUACUGAAUACAUAGGUGCAAGAGGCGAACCAGGGGAACUGAAACAUCUAAGUACCCUGAGGAAAAGAAAUCAACCGAGAUUCCCUUAGUAGUGGCGAGCGAACGGGGACUAGCCCUUAAGUGGCUUUGAGAUUAGCGGAACGCUCUGGAAAGUGCGGCCAUAGUGGGUGAUAGCCCUGUACGCGAAAAUCUCUUAGUCAUGAAAUCGAGUAGGACGGAGCACGAGAAACUUUGUCUGAAUAUGGGGGGACCAUCCUCCAAGGCUAAAUACUACUGACUGACCGAUAGUGAACCAGUACCGUGAGGGAAAGGCGAAAAGAACCCCGGAGAGGGGAGUGAAAUAGAACCUGAAACCGUAUGCGUACAAGCAGUGGGAGCCUACUUGUUAGGUGACUGCGUACCUUUUGUAUAAUGGGUCAGCGACUUAUAUUCAGUGGCGAGCUUAACCGAAUAGGGGAGGCGUAGCGAAAGCGAGUCUUAAUAGGGCGUUUAGUCGCUGGGUAUAGACCCGAAACCGGGCGAUCUAUCCAUGGGCAGGUUGAAGGUUAGGUAACACUGACUGGAGGACCGAACCGACUACCGUUGAAAAGUUAGCGGAUGACCUGUGGAUCGGAGUGAAAGGCUAAUCAAGCUCGGAGAUAGCUGGUUCUCCUCGAAAGCUAUUUAGGUAGCGCCUCAUGUAUCACUGUAGGGGGUAGAGCACUGUUUCGGCUAGGGGGUCAUCCCGACUUACCAAACCGAUGCAAACUCCGAAUACCUACAAGUGCCGAGCAUGGGAGACACACGGCGGGUGCUAACGUCCGUCGUGAAAAGGGAAACAACCCAGACCGUCAGCUAAGGUCCCAAAGUUAUGGUUAAGUGGGAAACGAUGUGGGAAGGCUUAGACAGCUAGGAGGUUGGCUUAGAAGCAGCCACCCUUUAAAGAAAGCGUAAUAGCUCACUAGUCGAGUCGGCCUGCGCGGAAGAUGUAACGGGGCUCAAACCAUACACCGAAGCUACGGGUAUCACUUAGGUGAUGCGGUAGAGGAGCGUUCUGUAAGCCUGUGAAGGUGAGUUGAGAAGCUUGCUGGAGGUAUCAGAAGUGCGAAUGCUGACAUGAGUAACGACAAUGGGAGUGAAAAACUCCCACGCCGAAAGACCAAGGUUUCCUGCGCAACGUUAAUCGACGCAGGGUUAGUCGGUCCCUAAGGCGAGGCUGAAAAGCGUAGUCGAUGGAAAACAGGUUAAUAUUCCUGUACUUCUAGUUAUUGCGAUGGAGGGACGGAGAAGGCUAGGCCAGCUUGGCGUUGGUUGUCCAAGUUUAAGGUGGUAGGCUGAGAUCUUAGGUAAAUCCGGGAUCUUAAGGCCGAGAGCUGAUGACGAGUUGCCUUUAGGCGACGAAGUGGUUGAUGCCAUGCUUCCAAGAAAAGCUUCUAAGCUUCAGAUAACUAGGAACCGUACCCCAAACCGACACAGGUGGUUGGGUAGAGAAUACCAAGGCGCUUGAGAGAACUCGGGUGAAGGAACUAGGCAAAAUGGCACCGUAACUUCGGGAGAAGGUGCGCCGGUGAGGGUGAAGGACUUGCUCCGUAAGCCCAUGCCGGUCGAAGAUACCAGGCCGCUGCGACUGUUUAUUAAAAACACAGCACUCUGCAAACACGAAAGUGGACGUAUAGGGUGUGACGCCUGCCCGGUGCCGGAAGGUUAAUUGAUGGGGUUAGCUAACGCGAAGCUCUUGAUCGAAGCCCCGGUAAACGGCGGCCGUAACUAUAACGGUCCUAAGGUAGCGAAAUUCCUUGUCGGGUAAGUUCCGACCUGCACGAAUGGCGUAACGAUGGCGGCGCUGUCUCCACCCGAGACUCAGUGAAAUUGAAAUCGCUGUGAAGAUGCAGUGUAUCCGCGGCUAGACGGAAAGACCCCGUGAACCUUUACUAUAGCUUUGCACUGGACUUUGAAUUUGCUUGUGUAGGAUAGGUGGGAGGCUUUGAAGCGUGGACGCCAGUUCGCGUGGAGCCAUCCUUGAAAUACCACCCUGGCAACUUUGAGGUUCUAACUCAGGUCCGUUAUCCGGAUCGAGGACAGUGUAUGGUGGGUAGUUUGACUGGGGCGGUCUCCUCCUAAAGAGUAACGGAGGAGUACGAAGGUGCGCUCAGACCGGUCGGAAAUCGGUCGUAGAGUAUAAAGGCAAAAGCGCGCUUGACUGCGAGACAGACACGUCGAGCAGGUACGAAAGUAGGUCUUAGUGAUCCGGUGGUUCUGUAUGGAAGGGCCAUCGCUCAACGGAUAAAAGGUACUCCGGGGAUAACAGGCUGAUACCGCCCAAGAGUUCAUAUCGACGGCGGUGUUUGGCACCUCGAUGUCGGCUCAUCACAUCCUGGGGCUGAAGCCGGUCCCAAGGGUAUGGCUGUUCGCCAUUUAAAGUGGUACGCGAGCUGGGUUUAGAACGUCGUGAGACAGUUCGGUCCCUAUCUGCCGUGGACGUUUGAGAUUUGAGAGGGGCUGCUCCUAGUACGAGAGGACCGGAGUGGACGAACCUCUGGUGUUCCGGUUGUCACGCCAGUGGCAUUGCCGGGUAGCUAUGUUCGGAAAAGAUAACCGCUGAAAGCAUCUAAGCGGGAAACUUGCCUCAAGAUGAGAUCUCACUGGAGCCUUGAGCUCCCUGAAGGGCCGUCGAAGACUACGACGUUGAUAGGUUGGGUGUGUAAGCGCUGUGAGGCGUUGAGCUAACCAAUACUAAUUGCCCGUGAGGCUUGACCAU
Molecule: ribosomal RNA, 2890 nt
Filed under: Pseudomonas donghuensis
Lineage: Bacteria; Pseudomonadati; Pseudomonadota; Gammaproteobacteria; Pseudomonadales; Pseudomonadaceae
Description: 23S ribosomal RNA
Rfam family: Bacterial large subunit ribosomal RNA
Source: RNAcentral